GUGCCAGCAGCCGCGGUAAUACGAACUGUGCGAACGUUAUUCGGAAUCACUGGGCUUAAAGGGUGCGUAGGCGGUCCGCCAAGUCCGGUGUGAAAUCCCCCGGCUCAACCGGGGAAUAGCGCUGGAAACUAGCGGGCUGGAGCGAGGUAGGGGUACGUGGAACUUCCGGUGGAGCGGUGAAAUGUGUAGAUAUCGGAAGGAACGCCGGUGGCGAAAGCGGCGUACUGGGCCUUGUCUGACGCUGAGGCACGAAAGCCAGGGGAGUGAACGGGAUUAGAUACCCCGGUAAUCCUGGCCGUAAACACUGAGCACUGGAGGGGAGGGGCCUCGUGCCUUUUCCCUCGCAGCGAAAGCGUUAAGUGCUCCGCCUGGGGAGUAUGGUCGCAAGGCUGAA
RNAcentral lists this ribosomal RNA (394 nucleotides) under uncultured bacterium. RNAcentral's name for it is "bacterial SSU rRNA". It matches the Rfam family "Bacterial small subunit ribosomal RNA", at positions 505 to 898 of the family's 1533-position model. The record is from RNAcentral.